This 65-nucleotide transfer RNA is filed under the name Brachymeria sp. ZJUH_2016006. RNAcentral's name for it is "tRNA-Thr". Lineage: Eukaryota; Metazoa; Arthropoda; Insecta; Hymenoptera; Chalcididae. The record is from RNAcentral.
UAGCUAUUAAUUUAAAUAAAAUAUUAAUUUUGUAAAUUAAAAAUAAAUAAUAGAUUUAUAGCUAA